AGCGAGGUAUGGAGUUCUUACU
This 22-nucleotide microRNA is filed under the name Limulus polyphemus (Atlantic horseshoe crab). RNAcentral's name for it is "Lpo-Mir-276-P3_5p* (star (passenger))". RNAcentral also lists the same sequence under 2 other names. The record is from RNAcentral. Lineage: Eukaryota; Metazoa; Arthropoda; Merostomata; Xiphosura; Limulidae.